UAAAAAUUUUUUAUGGUUUAAAAAAUUUAUUAUAAAUUUAUUUUUCAUAUAAAUUUUAGUGUUAAUAAAUUGUUAUUUAAAUAAUAAUAAUUUUUAAAGUAGUAAUUAAUUUUAAAAAUUUAAGAAAUUAAGAUUUAGUAAUAUGUAAAUUAAUAACAAAUUUUGUGCCAGCAGUUGCGGUUAUACAAAAAUUAAAAUAAAUUUUAUUAGUAGUUAAUAAAUAAAAUUUAUAAAUAAAUUAUAAAUAAAAAUUUAAAUUAUUAAGUGAAAUUUUAAUUUAAUAUAAAUUUAUAAUAAAUUAUGAUUUAAAAAAAUUAUAGUAUAAACUAGGAUUAGAUACCCUAUUAUUAAAAAAAUUAAAUUUUUAUGCUAAAAUAGUAUUUAAUUAUUUAUUGAAACUUAAAUAAUAUGGCGGUAUUUUAGUUUAUUUAGAGGAAUCUGUUUAUUAAUUGAUAAUCCACGAAUAAAUUUACUUAAUUUAUUAUUUUGUAUAUCGUUGUUAUAAAAAUAUUUUUUAAUAAUAAUAAUAUUUAAAAAUUUAAAUUUAAAAUUAAAUCAGAUCAAGAUGCAGAUUAUAAUUAAGAAUAUAAUGGAUUACAAUAAAUUUAUUAACACUAAAAUUUAUAUGAAAAAUAAAUUGAAAUUGGAUUUAAAUGUAAUUUUAUUUAUUUUAAUAAAAUGAUUUAAAAUUAAAAUAUGUACAUAUUGCCCGUCGCUUUCAUUAAUAAAUUGAAAUAAGUCGUAACAAAGUAGAGGUACUGGAAAGUGUUUCUAGAAAGAU
RNAcentral lists this ribosomal RNA (781 nucleotides) under Problepsis superans. RNAcentral's name for it is "12S ribosomal RNA". The record is from RNAcentral. Lineage: Eukaryota; Metazoa; Arthropoda; Insecta; Lepidoptera; Geometridae.